AUUCAUAAAUAUGUACUAUGUAUUAUAUAUCUAUAUUUUGAAUAUAUAUGCAUUUAUAGUUGAUAUUUUAAAUAGUAGUGUUAUUUAUUGGAAAUUGAUCUGUUUUUCUUUCUUUUUUUAAUGCUAUGGGGGUCUUGCUCUGUUGCCCAGGCUGGCCUUGAACUCCUUGACCCAAGCAAUCCUCCCAGCUAGGUCUUCCAAAGUGCUGAGAUUAUAGAGUGGCCACCAGCUGAUGAUGAGAUUCACUGAUCCUCACAUCCUCUCCAAUUCUUGAGAUUAUCAUGGCUUAACUGAGAGAUAUUACAUGAUUAACAAACUCAUACUACCCUGGAACCAGCAUCAGUGCUACGGUGGAACCAAGAAUUCACUUCUGCCUCCAUUGUCACUGCCACCAGCAUCUGUCUACUCCCAAGAAACUAAAGGACAGGCACUGGACUGCUACUGCAGAAACACCCACAAUUCCACAGGCUUGCUUGCGUUUUAAUGUCCACCAACAGUGGAGUUGGCUUCCCGGCUGUGAAUAGAUUCAUGGAAGAUGAACAAAAACAAAUGAACAAAUCAAUGACAACAACAGCAACAUCUGUGCAUACUAUAGAAGCAGAUGUGUAAUUAUUUUGUACAUUGGCUUAAUACUGAGAAAGAGACUGAAUAAUUAUUGCACUUCUGGCAAGUCUAUAUAUACUGUCUCCUGACGAAGGACCCUCCAGCAACUUCGGGCUGAAAUGAAGCAGAUUCACUCAAUCCGCACAAACUCUCAGAAAAGUGCAUCUGGAAAAAAAAAAAAAAAGUGACAGGGACUGAGUCCCAGAGAUAUUCCCCAGGAACUCUCCCCAAUCUGUGGUGCAAUAUGUGGUCUGACACAGCUGGACACCAGGCAGCACUUGGCCACCAGCCCUUCUGGCUGGACUCCUCCCCAAGGAAGCUGCCCAAUUUCCUUGUGGAAGAAGUGUCUGAAGGCCACCUAUGGGGAGCAAAAUUUGACGGAUGAAGAUUUUAUCUGUGAAUAAGAAAUAAAAUAAGAAAGUGAUAUCUUCACUUUGUAUCUAAAAUGUUGGAACUGUAGACAUUGAAAAAGUUAUCAAUGAAGCCCUCGUAUUCACCACCAUGUCCCUACAUAGGUUAUCCCUAAACCUCUGUAGAGGGUAUCUGUUUUUUCUGCCAUCAGUCUAUUUCCUGAAAUUCUGGAAAAAAAGUGUACACAGAAUUCCUGCCUCGUCCAAAAUUCAGCACGUGUGUUCUGACAGACGCAGAGUCCCCAGAUGCCUGGCCACUGUGAAUACCUUUGAGCCAAUCAGAAUCAAAUACGUGUGUAUGGAAAGUUCUGCCACAGACACGAUUGCCCUUUCUCUUGGCCUUUAGUUGGGAAUCACAGGCUGGAACUACUCCUGUCAUCUUGCCACCUACCAUAUGUAGCCAUACGGAUGUAUCUGAGAGCUAGAAACUGGGUCCUGGUGAUGUUGGAAUCCUGAUGAAGCUGUGCCUAAUCUCCCUUGCAGUUUACUUAGAAUUUGAGAAUGUUUUAGAUAUUUUCAAAUGAAAAUGCCUGAGUUUAAGUAUUAUUAUCUUGCCAGAUCCAUGCACCCAGCCAAUGAUGAGAUUAGAGUAUAACAACAUCUCCGUGUCUCCAAAGCCAUUGCUUUUCCGUGGAACCAUACUGUUAUCUGAGUUAGAAAGAGGGCUUUGGGAAGGAGAGGACACACAUUUUUAUCAAUGUGUUUUUUUUUUUUUUCCUGUGUGAGAAAGAAUGGAGUAGGACAACUCUAGAAUUACAUCUCUUGGGAAAUCUUUUAACAUGACCCACAAUUCCUUUUUUAACCUUCUUACAGGUUCAUCAUAUCAAAAUUUACAAAUAUGUCUGUCAAUCUCCCACAAGGAAAUGACACAAGCUCUCUAAUGAAAACAUUUUCUGAUGCCUUGGAAUUUUAGUUUUAGACCAUUCUGCACAAUGUCUCACAUACAUUUAUCUGGCUACAUUUUCAGUCAGGGCUGUAUUUUCAGCCUCAGAUGUGAAACAUUUUUCGUACCCCUUAAAAACUGUAGCAAGGUCACAAAACUCAUGAAUUUAUUGUAAUAAUAAAAAAUGUUUUGCCCCCUGUUUUUAUCAGCGGGCCUAGUUUCUAACAUUACAGACGUGAAUUUUUGCCCUCCUUGGAAAUUCUUGCCAAUUUCUUUGUCAUCCACCUUCAAUUAUUGGUUCACAAACUAGAUACAGGACUAACAGAGGCCACAUCACCUCUGGAUAUAAAAGAAAGUUCAUUUCCCUUUCAUGUUAUACUUCUUUUCAGGGUGAGAGAGGAAAUGUACUAAAAGUACUUAGCUCUCUUAGAGAUAGCUAGUUUUUCAACCAAAUAAUAAUAAUAAUAAUAAUCAAACAAAACCAUUUUGUGUCUAUUGGGAUCUUUGGAUGUUUGAUAGCCUCAUAUACAUAUCCAACCUAAUAAAAAUUUAUCUUAUUUGUACAGGAUUUCAGCAUUUACAGAAAACUUUCACGAAAUUUAUCUCAUUUAUUUCUCUUUUCAAUCCUAUAGUGUUGAUAUUGUUAUUAUUCCUAUUUUAGAGAUUAAUAUUAGGAGACUCAGGGAUUAAGUGAUUUGUUCAAAACUUUUCAACCUCUUCAGUGGUAGGACUGUAUUUUACACUCAAAUGUUCUGAUUAGUGUUCAGACAUUUCAUGGUUACAAAUAGCUUAUUCGGUACCUGGAUAGUUUUGGAGAGGAGAAGUCGAAGUUAGAAUGCCUCCAUGUUGCUUCUUUUCUCUAGGUUAAAGUGAGUGGAUUUUCUAAAUGUCUGAGAACAGAUUGUAGUGUUUCCUGUUUAUAGUGAUCCCUUUGGGGAACCACAGAAAUUCUGAUUUUCCUGACCAUUUGUCCUCCAUCAGGCCCAGAUGUUUAAAGGACGUUAUUUUUAUGUGCCAAUGAUUGCAGUAUUUGCAUGUGCAAAUCAUGUAAUUACUUAACUACCCAAAUUGUGCAUGCAACUAAACUUAAUUAUGAACUUAGAACAUUGCCUUAAGCAUCUGACCCUGGAAAAAUUAUGGUGGCAGAAAAUGAGUGUUAGAGUGGAAAUUUCUUGCAAGGCUGAUUUCGUUGUUGUCAUUGUUUCAUGGAAAUCUAUGUUAAGUUGAUUAAGUUGCUUUCUUUACCUCAGUUGGAACAUCUGAGAAUGAAAACAGUGCUUGUACUACCUACUUUCACUGGGUCAUGAGGAGAAAAUUGAGACCAUGCAUAAAAGUGAUUUGGAAAAAAAUUAUAAAACAUGAAAAAAGGUAUUCUUUUUUUUUUUUUGAGACAGGAUCUCACUCUGUUGCCCAGGCUGGAGUGCAAUGGGAUGACCACUGCUUACUGCAGCCUCGACUUCCUGGGCUUAAGUGAUUCUCCCACCUCAAACACCUGAGUAGCUAGAACUAUAGAUUCACACCACCAUGCCCGGCUAAUUUAAAAAAAAAUGUAGAGUCAAGGUCUGGCUAUGUUGCCAAGGCUGGUCUUGAACUCCUGAGCUCAAGAGAUCCUCCUGCCUCAGCCUCCAAAUGUGUUAGAAUUACAGGCAUGAGCCACAGUGCCUGGCCAAAAAAGGAAAUAUUAUUUUUGAAUGGCCUCAUUAAACUCCAUUUUUGAAAUAUGUAGAAAUUAACAUUUUAUAUGAAUCUUUUGUUCAUCUACCCAAAUACUAUACGUCAUACUACGAUAAAAUUUGAAAAAUAAAAUUGUAAAAAAAAAAGGAAUAUUAUUGUUAUUUAUCUUUAGGCUGCAUAACAAUUUCUCAUUUCCCUCUUCUAACAAUACUAUGUGGCAUAUAGAGAAGGAAAAGUUAGCUACAUACAGUUCACAUAUAUGGAAACUGAAGCUCAGUUCAUUUAAAGGACUUAACGUUAGUUACAUGAGAGUUUAAGAGGCAGAUUGAUAAUUUAGCACCAGGUUGUGUGACUCCAAUGUCAAUAACUUAGACAUUCCUGAUAAAGAGACCAUGUUCUUUGCCAUCAGUAGUUAUAGACAUGUUUGAGUCAGCCACUCAAUGUAUUUAAAAAUGUAUACUUUCCAAUAAUUUAAGGAAUGUAAUACCUUGUCUUGAAUUAACUUGCAGAUUACGAUUGCAUUCUAUGUAAGAAAAGGACUUGCUAAGAAAACUAAUGAUAUACUUAAGAAGGCGGAGCCUCUUAAGACUUACUUAAGAGAACAAAUUCGAUGGGUUGUGAUUGUACUUUACCCAUUUGUUGAAACAGAUACAAAGGGUACAGGCCAGAUCCAAUUCAGUGAGCAGUUUUAGAUUAGGUUCCUUUUCCAUUGAGAUAAAAGUCACAUUACUCUCCAAGUUUUCUAUUAUUUGCCUAACCUUUCCACCCAAUUGCUUAUUACAGUGAAGUCAUUAUUGUAGUCAUUAGAGUAUUAUCGGAUAAAAGCAUGCAUACAUUUACAUAGUUCUUCCAAUAAUAUCUCAUUGGGUUUCCAAGCCUUUGAGCAACUUUGAAGGUUCUAAAGUGCUUGAAAGAUGGAAAGGUUUUGCAGUCUCUAGAUCCAAAUGAUGUUUUGAAGGUGAUUCAAGAGUAUGUGGCAAGACUGGAAUAUUUGUCCUUGAGUCUGACUCUACAUUCUGAUCUCUAACCACGGGGUGUUGCCCUCUCCCUCUGUGAGCACGGAUGUCUCCAGACAGAAAAAAACCAGAGAUAUCUUGGACAUUAAAUAAGGGUGUUUCAAAGAAUAUGGGCCACUAAGUCAUCUAUACCCAAUGACUUGGCAGGAAGUAGAAUCAUCACCUCCUUUUAGAGUCAUGAUAUGUCUGAAAUUGUGUUUAUUCUGGUAAAAUAAACAGUCAUUAGCAUGAUUCACACUUUUUCCAGCUUUAGCAAAGAACAGAUAAAUUAUCUACUAUUAUCCUCCUCUACCUUUUACCUCAUUUUUGAGAAAUCAAAUGUGUUUAUAUGAAUAGCUACCAUUUCUUAAGACUUUACCUAGUGCCUGUCCUCUUGCUAAACACAAAUCUAUGCCUUAUCUAAGCCUCCACAAUAGCCCAUUAUGAGUUAGGCAUUAUUCUUUUCCUAUGUUUACAGAUAAGGAAGUGGAGGUUUAAGAGGCUUAAGUAACUUGCCUAACCUAACAUUGUUUGGCUUUUAUUUGUAAGUACUUCUUUCAGUUACCUCUGCACUCUGAAAAUGCUUCAAUGAUGACUCCAAGACAGACAUGCCAAUGACAAACAUACUGAUACUUAAAUAGAUUUUCUUCUGUCUCCAUAUGUGCAUCAGAUGAAGACAUGAAGCUACAGGUUCAGCUCUUAUUGAAAAAUUGCAUUCGUGCCUUGAGUUUCUCCAUUGAAUAAUGUAGCAUUGAUAUAUUAAUUAAAAAUAAUUUGUGACAUUUUCUCAUCACCUAUGAGAUAUCACUUUGAAGGCACAGUUGUGAUAAUAAAAAGAAUGCUUUAAAGUAAAUUUGAAUUCCUUAGGAGGUAAGCUUUAUUUUCAAAUCUUUCUGAGUAAGAUUAUAGCAAGAGGCUGAAGAAAACUUCUAGCAUAGUGAGGUGGGUACACUAUGGAAGACUUUCUUAAACAUCCAGUGUCCCUGUCAAUUAAUUGUAGAUAGUGUAAGUUCAAUUUGUCUACAGAAUGAAUUUCAUCUUACUUGACAAGACACCAAGUUCUUCUUCCUUCCCUCAUAUUUAGAGGUUCUUAUUAGCUUAGAUCAGUGUAACAGACACUUACAGUCACCUGCUAGGCUGCAGCUAUGUGUUGGGGACUGAGGAUAUAAAGCUGAUGGAACAGUCCAACAGGGAGAGACAUAAACAUAGGGGGUAGAUGGAAUUUCAGAGCUAGCACUAAGAAAAGGCUCUCAGGCCAGAUUCUCCAGCUGGGGCCAGGUAAAGGAACUUCAUCCUAAAUCUGUUUCAUAUAAGCACCUCGAUUUUUCUAGUUUGGGGUUUCUGCCCUUAAUUUUUACAUAAUAGCUUGUUGAUGCAAAUAAAGAGGCAAAGGUUCUUCCUCAUUUCCCUCUGGGAUCAAUGGUGGAAGGUUGGUCGAUGUGAUGCCAGUGACCUGUGGUAGUAGCACAGGGGUCUUGACCAGCUCUAACAUGCUAGUAAAGUCCUGACAAGUUCAUCGUUGACCAGAAAAAAUAAUCUAGAGCAACAGUAGCCACUAGCCACAGUCGCCUAUUGAAAACCUGAAAGGAGGCUGGCGUGAGUUGAAAUUUACUGUCAAUAUAAAAUGCACAUUGGAGUUCAAAGACUUAAUAUGAGGAAAUAAUGUAAAAUUUAUAUGUAACAUUUUUAUGCUGAAUACUUCAUGAAAUAAUAAUAUAUUGGAUACGUUGUUUUAAAUAAAAUAUACUCUUGAAUUUAAUCUCAUUUGUUUCUUGCUCCUUUUCUUAAUGUGACUAUUAGAACAUUUAAAAUUACACAAAUGGCUCAUAUUAUAUUUCUACUGAAUAGUGCUGGUCUAGAGCCUUCCUACUCUCAUUGAUGUAACCCUUUUCUAAGACAUUUGCUUGGGAGAGAGAAUUUAUCUUUUAUGUUAAAUGGCCUCCCAAAUAGCAGAGAAACAUUCUGAACCAACACUAUUUUUCUCUUCCUGUUUCUGUACUGCCAUCUAGGUUGUUAUAAAACGUUUUAAAUAUUAUCUAUUAAAUACCAACAAAGUGUAGAAAUUAUAAAAG
Molecule: long non-coding RNA, 6637 nt
Filed under: Homo sapiens (human)
Lineage: Eukaryota; Metazoa; Chordata; Mammalia; Primates; Hominidae
Description: HSALNT0264016
Source: RNAcentral